RNAcentral lists this ribosomal RNA (492 nucleotides) under Bacillus infantis. RNAcentral describes it as "bacterial SSU rRNA". It matches the Rfam family "Bacterial small subunit ribosomal RNA", at positions 38 to 513 of the family's 1533-position model. The record is from RNAcentral. Lineage: Bacteria; Bacillati; Bacillota; Bacilli; Caryophanales; Bacillaceae.
GGCGGCGUGCCUAAUACAUGCAAGUCGAGCGGACGGAUGGGAGCUUGCUCCCUGAAGUCAGCGGCGGACGGGUGAGUAACACGUGGGCAACCUGCCUGUAAGACUGGGAUAACUUCGGGAAACCGGAGCUAAUACCGGAUAAUGCACAACCUCUCAUGAGGCUAUGCUGAAAGAUGGUUUCGGCUAUCACUUACAGAUGGGCCCGCGGCGCAUUAGCUAGUUGGUGAGGUAACGGCUCACCAAGGCAACGAUGCGUAGCCGACCUGAGAGGGUGAUCGGCCACACUGGGACUGAGACACGGCCCAGACUCCUACGGGAGGCAGCAGUAGGGAAUCUUCCGCAAUGGACGAAAGUCUGACGGAGCAACGCCGCGUGAGUGAUGAAGGUUUUCGGAUCGUAAAACUCUGUUGUCAGGGAAGAACAAGUGCCGGAGUAACUGCCGGCACCUUGACGGUACCUGACCAGAAAGCCACGGCUAACUACGUGCCAGCA